CCUACGGGAGGCAGCAGUGGGGAAUCUUGCGCAAUGGGCGAAAGCCUGACGCAGCGACACCGCGUGCGGGAUGAUGGCCUUAGGGUCGUAAACCGCUUUCGGCAGGGACGAAGCGAAAGUGACGGUACCUGCAGAAGAAGGUCCGGCUAACUACGUGCCAGCAGCCGCGGU
This 171-nucleotide ribosomal RNA is filed under the name uncultured Atopobium sp. Its description in RNAcentral is "partial 16S ribosomal RNA". It matches the Rfam family "Bacterial small subunit ribosomal RNA", at positions 338 to 521 of the family's 1533-position model. The record is from RNAcentral. Lineage: Bacteria; Bacillati; Actinomycetota; Coriobacteriia; Coriobacteriales; Atopobiaceae.